GCUAAGGACAGAUGAAAUCCCUCAAAUUGUGAAUGAUUUCAGGCUUGCUGCAAGAAACGCAAUUGAGGCUGGUAAAUUCUUUUUCUGAAAUUAAAAAUUGAAUUGUGGGCAAUAAGUGUUUUAAGGUCGCCACAGGAUGGGUGAUAUUUCACUGGUCUACUUUUCUUGAGAUUAAGGAAAAUAGUAUAAAAGAAUAGUGAGAUUCUUCCAUUCCAUGCAUGGCUAUCAGAAGGAAAGGAAAACUAAACAUAAAUGCAUUAAUAGAUUUUUACUAGGCUUUUGUGGCUUGUAAAUAAUGUUGUUUUAUUGUACUGUAAGGUUUAUGUGAAAACAGUUAAGUUUCUUUACAAUUAUGCUUAUUGUCCCAUAGUUGUAUUUAUCAUAUUGAAUAAAGAAUUUGAAAACUUAAACCUUACCUAAAUGUGUCAUUAAUGUAAAUGGAGUCAUUACAAUAGUCGGAUUAUUUGGAAUGGGUUCUAGAAUCUUACAUGUGACUCCUUUUGUCAUCUAAAAUGAUGGUUGAGACUUUGUUUUUUAUGAUCUUAUCAACUGUUUUGUUGUUAGUUAAAGUAGGGAUUGAGUACCUGCAACUCUGAGUAGUUUUGUAGCUUUCUGCCUGCAUCUCUGAGACAUCACAAAACUGCCUAGGAUUAACUUUGAGAGCCAACCUAGUAAAUGCUUAAAUACUUUUUCUUCUUCUUAAAAUGAAAGCCAGACCCUCCGUUUGUCUGUCCGCACAAUGCGAGCCUCAGAGCUUUUAGUUAUAUGAGAAGAGGUAGAUAAAUGGAGUGUUCAUGCUGUACAGGUUUUUGGUUUCUAACUUUGUCUUAUACUGUAUAGGUUUCGAUGGCAUUGAGCUCCACGGUGCACAUGGCUACCUAAUUGACCAAUUUAUGAAGGAUCAAGUGAAUGAUCGAACAGACCAGUAUGGAGGAUCCUUAGAGAAUCGUUGCCGUUUUGCUUUAGAAAUAGUUGAAGCUGUUUCCAAUGAAAUAGGGGCAGAUAGGGUUGGGAUAAGACUAUCUCCGUUUGCAAACUAUAUGGAAUCAGGAGACUCUAACCCAGAAGCUUUAGGUCUUUACAUGGCAGAAUCCUUGAACAAAUAUGGUAUCCUCUAUUGUCACAUGGUUGAGCCAAGGAUGAAAACAGUUGGAGAAAAAUCUGAAUGUCCUCACAGUUUGCUGCCCAUGAGAAAGGCUUUCAAGGGUACUUUUCUUGUCGCUGGGGGUUAUGACAGGGAAGAUGGAAACAAAGCUAUUGCUGAAGGCCGUGCAGAUCUUGUUGUUUAUGGUCGCUUGUUCUUGGCUAAUCCAGAUUUACCCAGGAGAUUUGAGCUCAAUGCUCCCCUCAAUAAGUACAACAGAGAAACAUUCUACACAUCCGAUCCUGUUGUUGGUUACACAGAUUAUCCAUUUCUCAACACCUCUUCUUUGGUUACCAAGAAAAAUGAUUAGACUGAUAAAGCAUUAUCUCGGAUUUAAUCCUGUUUUCUGAUUGUUUAUAGAUGUACUGUGUUUAUGUAAAAGCCAAUAUAGGUUAUCUCAAUAAAAUUGUAUUGGCGUAAGGCCAAGCUCUAUACCUAUACGUUUCACAUACACUUCCUCUCUCAUUCCAAUUGAGACUGCAAUUCUCAAAAAUCACAAGGAUAAAAGAAAGACGAAGCAUUGUGGAAUCAAACUCAAAACCAUCCUUUCGUCUCAUAAAUUGGAAAACGAAUUAACAUGGAGCAAUUCAUCACCAGCAUGUUUGAAUACAUACUUAGCUUUCCCUUCCGUUAAUUUCAAAAUACUUACACUACUCCAAAUUGACAAAACAUAAAACAGGUCUUCACACGUGUGCAUACGGGCUUGGCCCAUUUCUCAGCCAUUUGAUGAAAACUAAAUUUAUAUAUUAUUUUGGAUUAAAAUCAGUUAGUAGAAUUGAUUUGAAUUGGUCAAGGUUCGUAUCUAAAAUAAAAUAUUUAAUCUAAAACUAUAAAAGAGUAAAACUAAACCUAAUUGUAUUCGAUUAACACCACACAUGUACAGAAUAACAAUGACACAUCUCUUUCUUCUAUAGUACUUUUUGUCUAAAAAUGUACUAGAAUGAAAGGAGACUGAAGCCUAUUUUGGCUUUUUCAUUCGCUCACUAGUUGGGUGUUCUUUUACAAUUUUCCAUAGUACUUCUCGAAGGAAUUUGGGUGAUUAACUCCGUCUUUUAGCUUUUAUUUGCGGAUAAUAUAGGGUAGGUGAGCUAAGUUAUUGCUGGAUUCAUAGCUAAGUAUGGAUACAGAGGAUUUAUUGCGCAAGGGUCAGGCUGUCGUUCUAAAAGAAGAAGAAGCAGGCAUAGUAGCAUUCAUGGGGCAAAUGAGGAUUAAGGGAGAAGAAGUUGCUGCGAAUUGUCUAGUAGGGAAGGUGUUGCUUUCACGAAGCAUAAACAAGGAAGGCUUGAAAGCAGCUAUGCAAAUAGCUUGGAGAACAGUGAAGGAGGUAAAAAUUGAAAGCAUGGGGGAUAAUAUUUUUCUCUUCAAGUUUGCUUCAGAAUAAGAAAAGAAAAGAGUGCUUAUGGGAGGGCCAUGGCAUUUUGACAGAGCACUGAUAGUUUUGAUCGAACCAUCCGACAUUGGUGAUAUCAAAAAUUAAUCCUUUACGCAUACAACAUUUUGGGUACAGAUCCAUAAUAUACUCAUAAUGUGCAUGAACAAGGAGGCAAUUGAAAAACUAGGUGAAAAGAUUAGUGGGAUCAAGGAAAUAGAGACAGACGAAGCCGGGGAUUGCAUAGGACAGUUUGCUCGAGUAAGAAUCUCCCUUGACAUUACUCAGCCAUUAAAAAAGAUUGUGUUUUUACAACAAGAUGAAGGAAAAAUUCCAAUGCCAAUCCUGUAUGAAAAGCUACCGGACUUUUGCUUUUGUUGCGCGCAUGUAGGUCAUCAGUACAGAGAGCGCAUGUAGGUCAUCAGUAUAGAGAGUGCCUGAGGUAAAAAGGACAACAUCUAAUGUUGAGUGUAACAGAGCAGGAAAACCAGCAAGUGGUGCAUUAAAGCAGGGUGGUGACAUCAACAAGUUGCAGGACAGAGUGACUAGUAAUGAUAGCCAAUCUAGAUAUGAACGCAAAAAAGGCGGAAAAGAAGGAUUGGAGGGAAAAUGAAAAUCUUGUAGAAAAAGACAAUGUGGGGAACAUGGAAAAUAAAAUGGAGGAGGACACGGGGGGUGCCAGAUCAGAUGAAGAGGAUUUGGAUAAUGGGCCCAGCAAGGCCACCGUGAAAUCCAAAGGAAGAAAAUGGAAAUUGCGGGCAAGAAACACCAAAGGAGAAGGAGCAAAUAAUAUUACUUUCGUAGAAAGUAAAAGACACAACAGUGAAGGCCAUGGGCCUAGCCUAGAGAGCAAAAAGAGGGGAGUGUCCAGUCCAAAAAAGCAACCAUAGGAAGGAAAACACAUAAGCCUAGCAAAAGCAUUAGACAACUGCAACCAUUUUAGCCCCAACAAAGUAGCUCGCUAGUUGAAGCAAGCAGAAGAAGUGCUUGAUGCAGGGGAAAACUUGUAAGCAAUGGAUGAAGACCUAUCGGCGGGUGCUGAUGAUCAACCCCACCGACAACCAUAAAGAUCCUCAGCUGGAACGUUCGAGGUCUGGGGAAGCCUCAAACGCACUUAGCAAUUAGAAAAGUUCUAUACCUGCACCGGUUCUAAAUACUAUUUUGUUGUGAAACUAAGAUGAUGGCUAGGUAGGUCAAUUUAAUUUACAGAAGUUUUAAUUUUGUAAAUUGUUUUGCUGUGGACAAAAAUGGUUUGGGUGGAGGCCUAGCUAUGCUCUAGGGAGUAGACGUUAAUGUCAAUAUCACCUCAUACAGGCCCCACCAUAUAGAUGCAAUAGUGAGUAGUGAAAGUGGCUUGGUUUGGAGAUGUACGGAGAUUUAUGGCCACCUAAAGCUCAGCCAGAAGCGUAGCACAUGGACCAUUCUAAAAAGGUUAGCUAAUCUUUCUUCCCACCCUUGGUGUUGCUUUGGGGAUUUCAAUGAAGUGAUGCAUAUGUUUGAGAAAAAUGGGAGCAGAAUGUAAAUGUGGUUGUCGAGUUUAGAGAGGUUGUGGGCUGCAAGGGGUACCCGUAUACAUGGUCUAAUAAGAGAUUUGAUGCUAAUUACAUAGAAAAAUGGCUGGACAGAUUCUUGUGUAGUAAGGAUUGGGGCAAAAAAUUUUAAGACUCUACAGCCACAAACCUUGUUAAUUGGGUCUCGAAUCACUGUCCAAUAUUCUUAGAAUUCAAAUAGAGAUGCAAGAAGUCGAGGACUGUGAGCAUAUCGUUUCCUGUGAUCACUAUGAGGAUAUGUAGAGUUCUUACGAAGACUGUAAGAGCAUAGUAAAAGAUGAGUGGGGAAACUAUGGGGCUAGAGCUUGGGAGGAUCCUGCUCACCAAUUUCAGCGGAUAGCAAAAAAGUCUUUAGCUCAGCUUAAGCUUUGGAGUAAAAAUGAAUUUGAAGGAAGACAAAGAAAAUAAGAAAAGCUGUUUCAGAGCCUUCAGAAUGCUAUGCAAAGAAGCUCUAAGCUGACUGAUGGAGAGGAGAUUAGGAAGAUUGAAAGCCAGAUCAAUUCCACGCUUAUUGACGAGGACAUCUAUUGGAAGCAACGAUCGGGGGCUGACUGGCUAAGAAAAGGAGACAAAAACACUAAGUUUUUCCACGCCAAAGUUUCUGCCCGUAAAAGAAAGAAUAAGGUGUGGGGGGUAGAAAACUCUCAAGGCGUCUGGCUAAGGGAGAGAGAUGAUAUAGAAAAGGAAUUCUGCGGUUACUUCCAAGAACUCUUCACUACAUCCAGCCCAACUCCAAGCCAAAUUCAAGCUGCUCUUUAAGGAAUGCCGGUAAAAGUAACAUAAAAAAUGAAUGCCCAGCUGGAGAAGCCCUUCACUCCAGAGGAUAUAGAGGAGGCUCUAGGACAGACGUGCCCCAGAAAAGCCCCAGGUCCAGAUGGCUUAACUGCUGUAUUUUUUCAGAAGCAUUGGAAAUUAAUUCGCAAUGGAGUUGUUACAACAUGUCUUCAUAUCCUUAAUGAGCAAGGUAACCCGUCUCCUCUUAACCAUACUUUUAUCACCUUGAUCCCUAAAAUUGCUAAGCCUAAGAGAGUCUCUGAUUACAGGCCUAUAAGCCUGUGUAAUGUAAUUUAUAGAGUCGUAGCUAAGGCUAUUGCAAAUAGAAUGAAACCGAUCCUCUCCCAAAUCAUUUCUCCAAUGAAGAGUGCAUUCAUACCCAAUAGGACUCAUUACAGACAAUGUUAUUAUUGGUUAUGAAUGCCUCUAUAAGAUAAGACACUGUAAAGGGAAGAUGAAUGAUCUUGUGGCUCUUAAGCUAGAUAUUAGUAAGGCGUAUGAUAGAGUUGAAUGGUCUUUUUUGAAUCAAACAUUGUUAAGGCUGGGUUUCUCACCUAAUUGGGUGGAUUUGAUUAUGAGGUGUGUCUCUACUACCUCACUCUCGGUGAUUAUUAAUGGUGUGCCAAAGGGAAUAAUUCAGCUGGAAAGAGGUCUGAGGCAGGGCUGUCCGCUAUCUCCAUAUCUCUUUAUCAUCUGUGCUGAGGCGUUCUCCAAUAUGCUUGUGAAGGCGGAAAAGAUUCAGCUAAUCCGAGGUCUGAAAUUUACAAAAAAAAGUCUCAAUUACCCACUUGCUGUUUGCGGAUGAUAGCCUGGUUUUUUAUCGUGCUUCAGUGGCUAAUUGUAAGCAUCUGAAGGAGAUUUUCGACAACAAUGCAGCAGCUUCUGGGCAGAUUUUUAAUUUUCAGAAAUCCUCCUUGUUCAUUAAUGGUUGAAUCCCUGCAAGUCAAACAGCUGCUAUUAAGGACAUUUUCAAGUUAAAUAUGGUCUCCAAGUAUGAAAAAUACUUAGGCCUCCCCUCAAUGAUAGGAAGAGAGAAGCUGAGCUUUUUCGAUGAAGUAAAACUAAAAGUUUUAAACAAGAUCAUAGGGUGGCAGCAUAAAAGGUUUUCGAGUGGGGGUAAGGAAAUCUUUAUUAAAGCGGCAGCCCAAGCUAUCCCAGCUUACGCAAUGAGUGUGUUCAAGCUUCCGAGAGGUCUUUGAGAUGACAUUCAACGGGCUAUAGUGAAGUUUUGGUGGGGAACGAAGGAAGAUAAGCAAGGUAUCCAUUGGUUAAAAUGGGAGAAGCUCAGCCAUGCAAAAAACAGAGGUGGGAUGGGAUUUCGGGAUUUUACUAGCUUUAACCAAGCCUUGGUGGCAAAGCAAGCUUGGAGGUUUCUGCAGUACCCAAAUUCUCUGGUCUCAAGAGUCCUUCAAGCAAGAUAUUACAAGAACUCCAGCUUUCUAGGUGCAUCGGUAGGGUCCAAUGCUUCAUUCAUCUGGAAAAGCAUUCUUUGUGGCAGAGAAGUAAUCAAGAAAGGUUUUAGAUGGCGGGUGGGCAAUGGCAAGAACAUAUCUGUUUACAAGGAUAAUUGGAUGCCAAGGCCGAAUACGUUCAAGCCAAUCUCCCCCCUACUUUGCCAGCAGACAUAGUGGUGACAGACCUAAAUAAGGAAGAUAACCAUUAGGAUGAAGACAAUCUGAACCAACACUUUAUGGAAGUAGAUGCAGCAAUGAUUCUUAAGAUUCCUCUCCCAAAAGAACAUUUGGAUGAUGAUGUUUUAUGGCAUUAUGAUAAAAGGGGAGAAUACUCGAUCAAAAGUGGGUACUAGCUAGCCUUAAGAAUGAAAUUUUCAGUUGCUCCUAGUAGCUCAGAGAGCAUGUCUCAGUAUUGGAGUGCCCUUUGGUCCCUGGAGCUACCUGAAAAAAUAAAAAUAUUCAUGUGGAGGGCAUCAAACAAUCUGCUCCCAUCAACAGAAAAUAUGUGGAAAAGAAAAGUCAUUCAAGAGCCAACUUGUCAAAUAUGUAGAAAGAGCAUAGAAUCUAUAAGCCACGCCUUAUUGGAGUACAAGGCAGCAAAAUCGAUCUGGCUACAAUCUCCCUUUACAGUUCCAAGCUUUAAAGACCAUUCUCAGGAAAUUUUUAGCAUUUUGCAAGGAAUGGCCAAUGAGUUAAGGAAAGCUGAUUUGGAAUUAAUGGUGUGCUGGGCUGUAUGGUUUUCUAGAAACAAAUUUAUUUUCGAAGGCAAGAAGAUAGCCCCCAAUAUCUCAACUGCAAAGGCAAAGUCUGUUUUGGAUGCAUUUCAAAGAGUAAGGAAGACAUACCCCUCUCAUAUUGCCUACUCCAGUGGAGAGAAGCUGCAGAAGUCGAUUCCCCCCCUCCCCGAAAAUGUCUUCAAAGUUAAUGUCGACGCUGCCAUUAAUGCCAAGGAUCAGACUACAGGAGUGGGAGUAGUCAUCAGAGGAAUAAACGGCAAGGUAAUUGCAGCCGGCAUCAAUCAAUCUUCUCUAAAGGGAACGGUAAGUAAUGCAGAGGUCGAGGCUAUGUUAUGGGGAAUUCAAGUGGCGAGAGAAGCAAAUUUAGCCUCCUUGAUCAUUGAGUCAGAUUGCUUAGAGGUGGUCCAGUUAGUAAACAACACUAAGGGUAGCAAAACAAAAAAUUUUUGGACAAUUCUAGAGAUCCAAAAUUAGUUGAAGGAUUUUCACAAAGUAGCAGUCCAUCAUACUCCAAGAUAAUGUAAUGCUUAUGCUCAUUCCUUAGUUAAGUUAGCUUUGGGGAGAAACUCUUCUUCUAUCUGGUUAGGAACUAUCCCAACUAAGAUUCAAGUUGUAUUUAAUGUAUUGUGAUUUAUGAAAGGUUUACUUUCUUUUUUUUAAAAAAAAGCACCACACAUGUACUGAGCAUUCACGCAUACCUACAAAUCAGUGGCAGCAUAGUAAUUGGCAUGGCAGUUUGCAUGACAAGAUACACAACACAGUAGACUCACCAGACAGCACACACACAACAGUAGUCACUGACUCACCAACGCAACCGCGUGAAGCCAGGCCAUCGUGAGUCUGCGACAUGCUGACACAAUACACCUUGACCACUGCUGCAACUUGCUCCACCUUGAUCGAUAGCCAUUAAGUUCCUCCAACUUACUUUUUUCAAUAAACAUUACUAUACUAUAUAUAUUAUAUUAAAUAAUUAAUUUCCAAAUUUCUAUUACGUUUAUAACUUUUCAAGUUCAAUGAUUUUUGUAUGCUUAAUAAGACUACUCAGCAAGAAAAAGUCACAAUUUAUCCAUGAUUUUAGUUAGAAUUAGUAAUAUAGUGAAUAGGAGUAUAGAGAUCAUUUUUUUUAAUUUUAAUUUGAAUACAAAUCAAACCCUAUAAAUUUAUAUAAGAAAAUGUAUGUUAAAAUUUUAUUCCUAAAUAAUCAUCAUGUAAAAUUCUGUUUCAUUGUUUUUUGCUUAGAUUGAGACUAAUUAAUUUAUUAAUUGAAAUUGUAUUGUUAAUUGUUUUUAGCACAAUUAUCCUAGUCUUAUUAUUAAUUGUUAUUUUUAAAUGUACUGGGGAUGUUUGAGAUUGUGAGUGUUGUGGUGAUAUUUUAAUAGUUUUAUGUUUUGAAUUAAUGAUGACUAUUCAUUUUUUUGUAUGUUCAAGUGACUAGACACUCAAGAUCAAAUUUCACAAUUGAUGAUGAGGCACAAAGUGAACAACUAAAAGGAAAUCAAAAAGGGAGGGAAAAGACGAAGCAAGCGAAAAAUACAGCAAAUGAAAAAAAAGAUUUCUAAUGUGGAAUCAUCUCACUUUAUGUAAGGACAAUUUAAACAAAUGCUAGUGCAACUAUUGUGGUAAACAAUAUCAAUGCCAUUCAAGGCAUGAGGAGAUUAUCAAUAUGAGAAAUAAUAUAAAAAAUUAUAACAUAUACAAGACAUUCCAACAACAACAAGAAGAAAAUCGGCAGAAGUUGAUAGUUGAGGAUGGUGAAGGAAUUGCAAGUAACAUGGUUUUGGCUAAACGAUAGGAUGAGUGGAUGACAAGUGGCUCAAUUAUUUGUUUGAUACAUACAUGAAUAAUCUAUAUUCCAAGUUCCAACGGUUGCAUUUAAAUUCGCCAAUAGCAGAAAAGAAAAGAAAAGUAAAUCAAUAUCUUUGCAUAAAUUUGUAAUUUUUUAAUUUACUUUUUCUCUUCAAUUCUUCUCUAGGGGAUCCGUCCUCCAACUUCGAAUACAAGAAGUUGAAGUUAGAACUUGUCCAAAUAUUUACGUGAAGGAAGGUUAUUUAAUAUUUAUGUUUAAAUUUUGUUGUUUUAGAAAUAGUUUAUUUUUAGACUUUGUAUUGGAAACUAUUUAAUUAUAUUUAAACUUUGUGAUCUUUGUGUUUUGAAGGCUAUUUAUAUUUGAAUAUCGUGCUUUGGGUGGAGGCUAUUAAAUUUAGAAUUUGUGUUUAUUUUAAUUUGUAUACAUUUGAUUUUAAUGGUAGUAGACUAGUAGUUUUCAUUUUUUUUUAGAAUUGGUAAAAACAAACUAAAAUGAGAUAAUUAUAAGAAAAUAAUUUUCUAGUAACUACAUAAUUUGUAAAGAAAACUCAAAAUAUACAAAAUAAAAGCUCAAAAUUGCCCAUGACUCGAAUCGACCCAAAUCCAAUUUUAAACCGAACUCAAUUCGAUCCAUCUAUAAUCCUAGCUCAGUCAACUUGAACUAAACCCGAACGUUUGAUCUAAUCCGAAUACAUACGGAUUAGAUUAGAUCAUAUUACAGUUCGGAUUGAGUUUGAAUAACUUUUUUCUCAAUCCAACUAACUCGAAAUCCGAUUGGAUUGAUUCAAACCCAUUUUUGCCCACCCCUAUUCAAUAUUGAUGCAAUUGCAUUGUUUUGAUUCUUACGCAACACUUGUCGAACUACAUCAUUAUAUACAAUGUUAUGAACUACUUGGGUUAUAUUGGAAGAAAUAUGAACACGUGGAAAAAUCAGCAACCGCUGUCAUAAGUAUCCUAUUUUGGUAACCAGUACAUUAGAAUCACUUUCAAUCCAUUCUGCAGUUUCCCCAUUUUGGCAUAAAUUUCCCUACCAACAGUCAGGGAUGUCCACACAAGCUUGCUCGUUAUGUGCCGGGAUCCUUUGCAAAGUAAGAAACAUGUAGCUCCUUUUGAAGAAGUGAAAAAAAAAAAUCAUAUCUAAGAAAUAUCUGGGCUGAUGGAAAUAUAUAAUGAAGUAUCCGGGUUUCUAAGGGAAAUAUGAGUCAGAGAAUUAGGACUCAUUAUUUAUCUCGUUGGACAGCUUGAAUUUAAUUCUGUUUCACUUUCAUUUUUGUUUCUUGUAAAUAUUUAUCUUGAUUUAUAGAUAUGGCCUUUGCAUAUACAAAUGAAUUAAAUACCUGAUAAAAAAGGAUACAUCAUUAAUCAUCCACAUAAAUUUUAAGAAAACUUGAUUUUUCGAUGAUUAUGUACCUGUGUUUCUAAGGGCACUAUCACAUAUUGUUGUCAAAGAAAUACCAAUAAGCAAACAUACCUAACACCUAGUGUUAUAUACAAAUGAAGACCCUUCAAUAUAUAAUUACUGGAAUAUGGCAAAAUUUUAUAAAAUAAAAUUUAUAUAUAUGAUUAUUUCCGAAGAUAGCCAGCUCACCAUUACUUGUUUCGUCCAUGCUUUCAUUCGAAUGCAAAUCCUUAAAAAAAAUGAUGUGAAUUAGAGUAACUUGAUUUCUUAAAAAAAUUAUGAAUAUCCUUUAGCAUAAUACACUCUUUUGUAAUUUUAACUUACAUUAUUUGCAGCAAGUUAGAGCAACCUUUAUUUGCGUGCACAUUACUGAAAUGUUAAAUUGAACUUGUGUACAAGCACAGUAGGCUGCAUACAUUUGUGAAGUACUUUCCAAUUAUGGUCUAGUUUGGGGUUUGAGGUUGAGCAACUGUAACUUAAAAACUAGUAAGCACUAGCUGUUGUAACUUAGAAACUAAGUUAAUUUGAUUUUAUAUUUGUAUGAUAAAAAAAUUAUUAUAUAUAUUUACUAAUUUUGUUAAAAAAAAUUUUACUACAUAUUACUAAGACCAUUCAUACAACAACUAUAAUUUAAAAGUUAGAACACAUUAAUAUCAAACAAGACCUAUAUGAGUUUCUAAUUCGAUUAAGACCAUUUUUGCAUGAAGUGAAAUCCAAAGCAAGCUACCUAUAGCAUCUUUCAUGGCAACACUUAUACCUCCAAAACAAGUUAUGAUAAUACUCAAAUGCUUGAUUACAAGUGGGAAAGGUUGGAUUUGCCAUGACUACUUCUGGAACACUCAAAUUCUUCACAAAAGUAAAACUAAUAAAAUGAAAAUUUGUUGAUGUUGAGAGGGCAAAGAAUGGCAAGGAGAGACAUAUUUCCAUUGAAACUUUGCAAAUUCAAUGUCUUUUAGAUUGAGUGUCUUUUAUUUAAAAUUAUCAUGGAAGUUAAAAAUCGAGGGAGUUCAUUUAAGAGAGUGGGUGAGAGUGAGUAAAACUCCGAGAUUCAAACACAGGGUAGUCAGUAGGUAAAGAGCAAACUUGUUGUUCGUCAUCUAUGGACACAGUGGAGUUAAUAUGUAAAUGCAAAGCUAUUUCUAUAUGAGAUGGCAGUGAACGAAAGCUAUCAAUUAGAAGCGGAAUGCAAGGAAAAAGAGGGCGUAUAAUGGAAAAUUCUCUAGUUGGGAAAAUUCUAUUUGUUGAGUACAUAAAGGCACCAGGUCGGCCAUGCUACUGGUUCCGCCCCGGCACAGAUCGUUUCAGCUAUAUGGUACGAGCAGAACACGGGGUUAAACAGGAGCCGACCCGAGAUGAGUGCGACCAUGAAAACAUACUGACCAGAAGUAUACGCCGAGCCGAUACUCAUCCCCAGGAAAGCGGGAACACGAUCUCACAAAAUCGCGGUAGUUGCGCUUCUCCCAGAACGGUUGAAGGACACGCGAGAUCCACGUUUGCCCACAAUCUAACAGUUAGAGUCCCAUGAGGGGUUACCACCACCCGAAAAAGGAGGGAUAAGGGGCAAACGAAAAACGUGGGACAAAGGGCGGCUAUAAAAGAGAAAGACAUCGAAGAAGACAGGACAGAAAAAAUUGAGAGAGGGGAAACGCUGCCAAAUUCCAACCAGGCCAUUUCCUUACAAAUUUCUUAAAUCCAUAUUACACUGUUUUCCCGUAAACACCUUGUGCUAACUUAGGCAUCGGAGGGUUUACGCCGGCAAAACCACCGGCGUCUCUGAUCCGUGUUUGCUGAACGCAGGUCUAGUGAGAGAGGGAAGGGCGAUUCCAACCCCAGUGGUUCGAGUGACAGUUGAUAACACAAACGUUGGUGACAGAAUCUGGUCGGUCCAAGGGCGAGCAGAUUUCAGCAUCAACAUUUUGGCGCCGUCUGUGGGGAGCUGAAUAAAAAGUUACCACCAAGUUAGUAAUUACCUGAGAAGUAGCGAACGAUUGGAUAUGGAUGCGUCAAGAAAGGAUACUUUAAGGGAGGAUAAUGAAACGGUGGAGACAAUCACUCUACGGGGGAUUGCAAAUGAAGCCCGAGAGAGGAUGAUGCAAGAUAGACUGGAGCGGAUGGAGAAACAAAUGGAGACUCUCGCGGCCGUAUUGUUUGAGCUGAGGGACGAGCGGAGAAGGGAUUAUGAAACCCCCGUGGGAAGAGAUGGAGUUGGAGCAGAACCUAGUCUCCGGGGGCGUAGGGUCGGGGAGAUCCCUCCACCCGCAGACCAACCUAACGGAGUGCAUCCCCACCGAAGUACUGGCCGGGUCCCAGGGGAACACGUGGAUGAAGGGAGAGACCAACCUCGCCCCGGACGGGUACUGGAAAUAAAUGGCCGAGGGGCCAGUGUUGAUGAAGGAGAGCUCAGACAGCGGUUGCAGAACGUCGAGCAGGAGCGAGACCAGAUAGCUGCACGUGAUCCUGAUCGCGCUAUAGAAUUGGAGGGGGAGGUGCGCAGAUUGGCGCAGGUGAUAGAGGAGAUGCAGGGCAAGAGAAAGCCCCCGAGCUGGAGGAUAAUGCUAGAUGAAGAAUCUCCGUUAUCAAUUGAGAUCAUGAGCACCAUAAUCCCAAGAGAUUUCCGCUUCCCUGACCUCAAAUACUCCGGGCGAAGUGACCCGUUGGUGCACAUUGAGCGUUUCAACGACAUGACGGGUGUGCAGGGGCUGACACCAGCUCAGAGAUGCAGGGUGUUCCCGUUGACACUAGAGGGACGAGCCCGAGAAUGGUACCGCAAGCUGCCCCGAGGAGGAAUAAAGGGGUAUGAGCAGAUGUGCCAGGAGUUGGCCGAGCAGUUCCGAGGGGCGGUGGCCCCAGAGGAUGACAUGAUGGAGCUGAUGGGGAUGAAGCAGGAGGAGCAUGAAUCCCUUCGCGAUUUCGUAAAACGAUAUCACCGAGCCGUGCUGGAUUUGGGAGCUUUUAAUCACCCGCAGGCGUUGUGGGGAUUAAAAGAAGGUGUAAGAAUCGGCCGAUUGUGGUAUAACUUAAGAAGCCCCCUUGUACAGAAUUACUCGUCGGGGUAUGAGCAAGCGAAACGAGAUAUAGAGAUCGAAGAGGAAAAAUCAGCAAGAAUUAAAAGUGAACAGCUGGAAGAGCUGAGGCGAAGAGAACGGAGAGCCCCGAAAGGGAGCGGGUCGGGAAAGCGAACAGGAGAAUCUUCGGGGAUGGGCGGAAUAUCAGCUCGGUCUCGCCCUUACCCCAUAGCUCAGAGAACACAACAGUUCCAACACAGCCGGGCUCAACCUCCGCGCCCCCCGAUCCCAGAACGGCAGCGAGAAUUCAGGCAGGUGACUGCCCACCCUUACCACCGCACUCCCAGAGAGGUAAACGCGACCAAUUACAGGUCUGGCCGACCAGAGCAGUUACCGGCUAUACCAGCCCGAAGUGACGUCCAUGAUAGCCGAGCAGUGCAGUUGGUUGACCAGAACGCGGCAUAUAGACGAUAUACUCCUUUAAAAGUCUCCAUGGAGGAACUAUAUGAAAGGAUCGAGGGACGAGGACUGCUGUAUACUCCGGCCCCUAUAACGAAACCCGCUCACCGGCGUGAUAAGAGCAGGUUCUGCAAAUUCCACAACAUUCACGGUCAUACUAUCAGCCAAUGCCGUGACCUAAGGAUUCAGGUGGAGGAUUUGGUGAGGAACCAAUACUUGGAUGAGUACGUAGAUGAAGUGUUCCCCGUCAGUGAGUCGCAAUAUGCACAGGAUGAAGGAGUUGAAAGGGGUUUGGAAUAAGAACAGCCGACUAUCCAAGUUAUAGCAGGAGGGCCAACAUUGGCCGGGGAUUCAAACAGGGCACGGAAGAACUAUGGGAGAUAUGCCCUGACUAGCAAAGAAAUGUUUUUCAAUUUGCCAGCAGCCAAGAGGGCAAAAGUGCGGCAAGUUCCUAUUAUGUGGACAGAGGACGACGAAGAAGGCAUUUUAUACCCUCACGAGGAUGCGCUGGUGAUUAAAGCAUUGGUGGCCAGUACAGAAUUGCGGCGAAUACUGGUAGAUACGGGCAGCUCAGUAGACAUUCUGUUUAAGUCGGCCUUAGAUGAUAUGGGGAUUUCAGAUUUAAAGCUGGAGCGAACGAAUACAUCCUUGAAGGGAUUUGGAGGGGGACGGUUAACUCCCAUGGGGGUCAUUGAACUCCCGAUUACUGUAGGGACAAAGCCACUUGAAAGAACGAUGAUGCUGGACUUUGUAGUGGUAGAGGAAAGAAGUCCUUACCAGAUGAUAUUGGGGAGACCGUUCAUGAGGAUAAGCCAAUGUGUAAUGUCAACGCAUUAUCUGGCGCUGAAGUACAGAAUAAAUGGAGUUGUGGGUGUAGUAAAGGGCGACCAGAGAAUGGCCAGGAGCUGCUAUGCUACAGCGGCCAAGGAAACGCUGCAAGUUACCUCUCUAGAUAACCGAGGGGAUUCAAAAAAUGGUCGUCAGGAACCGGUUGAGAAGCUGGAGGAAGUUGUUGUAAGAAGGAGUGACCCUAGCAGAGUUGUUAAGGUCGGAUCAGAAUUGGGUAGAGAAAUAAAGACAGAGCUGGUGAAGUGUCUACAGUCCCAUGCAGACGUAUUUGCUUGGUCUCAUGAGGAUAUGCCAGGUAUUGAUCGCGGGAUAGCUUGUCACAAGUUGGCGGUCAAGAGAGGGGCAAAGCCGGUGAGACAGAAAAGGAGGUGCUUCAACCACGAAAGGUACGAAGCCAUAAAUGCCGAGGUGGAAAAGCUGCUGAAAGCAGGAUUUAUAAGGGAAGCUAAGUACCCGGAGUGGAUUUCCAAUGUGGUAUUGGUAAAGAAGGCCAAUGGGAAGUGGAGAAUGUGUGUAGACUUCACGGACCUCAAUAAGGCAUGCCCGAAGGACAGCUUUCCCCUGCCAAAAAUAGAUCAGCUGGUGGACUCAACCGCGGGUCAUAGUCUGCUUAGUUUCAUAGAUGCCUUCUCCGGAUACAACCAGAUACCCAUGAACGAGCAGGAUGAGGAAAGCACCACAUUUAUAACUAACAUGGGUUUGUUUUGUUACAGGGUGAUGCCCUUUGGCCUGAAAAAUGCAGGAGCUACCUAUCAAAGGUUAGUGAACAAGGUCUUCAAACCAUUGAUCGGUCGCACUAUGGAAGUAUAUGUGGACGAUAUGAUCACCAAGUCAAGAGAACCGAAAGACCAUGUGAAGCACUUGGAAGAGACUUUCGAAUUGCUGAGGAGGUACAAAAUGAAGCUGAACCCGGAGAAAUGUGCAUUUGGGGUCAGCUCGGGCAAAUUUUUAGGAUACCUGGUGAGCCAUCGAGGUAUUGAAGCCAACCCAGAAAAGAUACGGGCAGUGAUAGAAAUGAGGUCCCCACGAACAGUUAAGGAGGUGCAGAGCCUUACGGGGAAGUUGGCAGCAUUGAACCGAUUCAUUUCGCGAGCCACUGAUAAAUGUCACCCUUUCUUCCAAGUCAUAAAGAAAGGGAAGAAGAUGGAAUGGACACCGGAAUGCGAGGGGGCAUUUGGACAGCUGAAGGAAUAUCUAGCCCACGCCCCGUUACUAUCAACUCCGAGAGAGGGUGACCAGCUGCUCUUAUACUUGGCAAUCUCUAAGCAGGCUACCAGCUCGGUCUUAGUCAGGGAAGUAGAAGGGAAGCAACACCCGGUAUACUACACAAGCAAGGCCCUGGUGGACGCAGAAACCAGAUAUCCACUAAUGGAGAAGUGGGCGCUGGCUUUGAUAACGGCAGCACGCAAACUCCGACCAUACUUCCAAGCCCACCAGAUCGUUGUGAUGACUGACCAGCCACUUCGGCAAGUACUUCAAAAACCAGAUGCGUCUGGUCGGUUAGUAAAAUGGUCCGUGGAGCUGAGCGAAUUUGACCUGUCCUACAGGCCCCGAGGAGCAAUCAAGGCCCAAGCCCUGGUAGAUUUUAUGGUGGAUCGUGUUGAACCGGGGGAAGAGGUCCAAGAGGAACAAUCGGUAGAGCACGAGGAUUCAAAGGAGAUAUGGCUGGUAAUGGUUGACGGAUCAUGUAGUGAGCAAGGAUCCGGAGCAGGAGUUGUAAUACGGAGCCCAGAGGGAACCGAGGUAACAUACGCGGUGAAGUUCGAAUUUCAGCUCACAAACAACCAAGCUGAGUAUGAAGCCUUUAUCACCGGGCUCGGACUUGCACACGCUCUCAGAGCAGAGAGAGUAGAAAUUCGAGCAGAUUCCCAAUUGGUGUGUAAUCAGCUCAAUGAUCAGUUUCAAGCGAGGGGAGAGAAGAUGAGUCUUUAUUUGAAGAAGGCGAAGCAGAUGGUUGGGCUUUUCCAAGCAGUGGAGGUAAAGCAGAUAUCCCGGAAUGAGAAUUUCCGAGCCGAUAUGCUGGCUAGGAUGGCAGCCAUCGCAGAUCCAAAAUUACCGAAGUCAGUUCCACUAGAGGUAAGGACCUCACCAAGUAUUGAGGAAGAAGCAGAGGUGAUGAGUGUAAAUAUUGGAGAAUCCUGGAUGGACCCGAUUCGCGCAUAUGUCCGCGAUGGAGUUUUACCGAAAGACAAAAGGCAAGCAAGAAAGUUAAAAUGCCGAGCAGCGAGGUACACGCUACUAGAUGGAGUGCUAUACCGCCGAGGGUUCACCUUACCCCUUUUGAGAUGUUUGGAUGAUGAGGAGGCGGAUUAUGUGCUGAGAGAGAUUCAUGAGGGAAUAUGCGGCAAUCACUCGGGAGCAAGAACUUUAGCCUUCAAGGCACUCCGGCAAGGAUACUUUUGGCCAACCAUGCACCAGGAUGCCAAAAGGAUGGCCAAGAAUUGUAAAACAUGCCAAAGCUUCUCCGAGGUUCCUGCACAACCACCGGAGAAACUGACGGCUAUGACAUCCCCAUGGCCUUUCGCUCAAUGGGGAAUCGACUUGAUUGGUCCAUUACCAAAGGGACGAGGAGCGGCGACACAUGCAAUCGUGGCAAUAGACUACUUCACCAAGUGGGUGGAAGUAGAAGUCCUCAGCCAGAUCACAGAGAGGAAGACAACAUAUUUUAUUUGGAAAAACAUCAUCUGCAGAUAUGGGAUCCCCUACGCCAUCAUCACAGACAAUGGGAGGCAAUUUGACAACGGCAACUUCAGGGAAUUUUGCCGAAACCUGGGGGUGGACCUGAAGUUCUGCACCCCCACACACCCCCAGGCAAACGGGCAAGUGGAAGCAGCCAACAAGGUGAUAAAGAAGCUCCUAAAGACUAGAUUGGGGGAGAAGAAGGGAGCUUGGGUUGACGAGCUACCAGGGGUACUGUGGGCCUACAGGACAACUCACAAAACCGCCACAGGAGAAACACCGUUCGCUUUAGCUUUUGGUCAUGAGGCGGUAAUCCCAGCAGAGAUUGGAGUGGGGACACAUAGAACGGAACAUUUCGUUGAGGAGCAAAAUGACGAGCAGAUCUGCUUAAGCCUAGACCUGCUGGAGGAGAAAAGGGAAGGGGCCUCGCAGAAAGUGGCCCAAUGUCAGCAAAGGGUCAUGCGUUAUUACAACAAGAAUGUAUGCGUGAGGCAGUUCCGAGCAGGAGAUUGGGUACUUAGGAAGGUGAACCAGAACACCAGGAAUCCUAACCAUGGCGCUCUUGGCCCAAAGUGGGAAGGCCCAUACCGAGUGAUACGACCCACUGGACCAGGAGCAUAUAAAUUAGCGUGCCAAGACGGACGAGACGUGAAGAGAUCAUGGAACGCCGAACACCUGAAGAAGUACUUCCAGUAAGCAAAAUGCUCUAUUAAAUCCUCACUCUGGCAAGUUAUUUCUGUUACAAUGCCUGAUGGCCUGUCGCACAUGCAUAUAUUCUAUGUUUUUGUAAUACAUUCAAAUUUCAAUAAAGAUGAAUUCAGCAUGAAAUCCCCCUGCUAGCAAGAUCAAUAAAAAUUUCACUAAGACAAGUGCUACUUCUGCUCGGUCAACGAAGACCAGCAGCUAAAGCUUCAAAAUUUAUACUAAGGCAUCAAAGUGCCUGUUUCUGCUCGGUCAACGAAUGACCAGCAGCUAAAGCUACGAACACUCUCCUAGGGCAAGUGCCUACUUCUGCUCGGUCAACGAAGACCAGCAGCUAAAUCCUCGAAAGUUCACUAAGGCAAGUGUCUACUUCUGCUCGGUCAACGAAGACCAGCAGCUAAAGCUUCAAAAUAUCUACUAAGGCAACAAAGUGCCUGUUUCUGCUCGGUCAACGAAUGACCAGCAGCUAAAGCUACGAACACUCUCCUAGGGCAAGUGCCUACUUCUGCUCGGUCAACGACAGACCAGCAGCUAAAGCUACGAAAACUCUACUAAGGCAAGUGCCUACUUCUGCUCGGUCAACGAAUGACCAGCAGCUAAAGUUACGAAGAUUCUACCAAGGCAAGUAAGUGCCUACUUCUGCUCGGUCAACGCAAGACCAGCAGCUAACUCUACAAGAAAUCUACUAAAGCAAAUGCCUACUUCGGCUCGGUCAACGAAGGACCAGCAGUUAAUCCUACUAAAAUUUUACUAAGAUACAAUCUAUGAGCAAAAACCGGACAAGAAAGCAAAUAAAGAGCAUUUAAAAAUCUUUUUAUAAAUGUUCAAUUGUUUACAAAACAAAUGCAAAUCUAGAGUCUAUACAAAAAUAGGCUCAAAGAUUAGAAGGGUCAACGGCUUCAGCAGGUGAAGGAUCAGUUGUCCCAGGAGGUGGAGGAUCAGCAAUACUGGGAGGAGGCGGCAUGGAUCCUUGUCCCAUUUCAAAAGCACGUUCCCCAGCUCCCCCCUCCUGCACCUCAUAUAAAGGAGCCUCCACCUGAUUCUGCUCACCUUGCUCCUUAUCUCCCUGGCCGACCCCAGCCAUGUACCUCUCCACUCCAGCCUCCAGCUUGCUCAUAUCCAGCUCGGGAUAUUCUUCCUUAAGCACAGACAUGAUGCACUUAUAGGAGAAGGCAACCCCAGAGUCAUACUCGGCAUCCAGCCGAUCGUCCACAUCAGCAGAUUUGCCUUUCUCCUCAGCCAGCUGCUCACCCAAGGAUUUGAUUUCCCCCUCAAGGGCAGCCCUCAGAGUAUCCCUUUCAAUUUGAGUAGCCUGAAGAUCAGAUCUCAGGUCACCCAACUCGCCCUCAAGCUUGGAGGAAGUGGACUCAGCAACAGCAACUUUCUCCUCAAGCUCCGUAAGCUGUUUGUUCAGCUCGGCCAGUUUCUCCUUGGAGCGGUCAGCAGAUUCAACUUUCUUUUUCAACUCUUGGUUAUCAGCCUGGAGCUUCUUCUCAUGACGCGCGGACCCGAUCUUGUAGCACGAGACCAUUGUGGCCAGCCUGAAGGAGACUCUCUGAACAGAAGCAGCCAAAUCGGAGAGGCUCAUGCUCUCGAUGUCCUUCACCAUCUUAGGCCCAACCGAUUUUUUAUAAUCCUUCUGAUAUGGACUCAGGUAAUCACCUUGAUCCCGAGAUGGGAGAGGAGAAGAUCGGUCCUCAGAUUGCAAGCUGACCUCAGGACUCUUGUCAGAGGUUUUCUCCCCACCACUCUUACGAGGUGGAGGAGGAGGCAGAGCAGGAACAGGCGCCUUGGAAGGACCGACGGUAGGUUUCUUCGGAGGAGGAGGCGGGUUGCUGGAGCUGCUCGGGGCCCGACCACGCUUCCUGCUCAUCGCGCUGAGGAUCUUGUUAUCCAUUCCAGCGGCUAUAUCCACUAGGCCCGAACCGACCAAGUUUGUGGGAGACAGGAGGUCUUGGCAAGUAGAAGCGUUCACCAGAGCAGUUUCCACCUGAAGCAAGGGUCGAUCUUCAAGCCCCCCGAUCAAAUCCCAUGACUCUGAAAUAACAAACAAGGUUAAAGAACCCAAUAAGUGGCAGUUCGAAAAAGAAUACAGGCAAAAAAUGAACGACCUGGGGUGACAAACUGCGUUGGUAGGUAAAGAUCACCACCCAACGAACGAAAUGCUGAACACCAUUUUCCCCCAGCAAAGAAGAAUUUGUUCUUCCAAUUCUUACACGAGGAGGGGAAACCGGUGAUUGGCUUUCUCUUUGCAGAACUGGACAUGAAGUAGUACCAGCCCGCCUCCCUUGGGCUGCUCCGCAGCUGAUACAAAUGCUUCACUUCAACAAGGGAAGGCUCCUCCAACCCGCACCUCUCCCACAACACAAACAUAGCCGAUAGAACCCUCCACUCGUUCGGGUGUAGCUGACCUGGGGCCAGGUGCAUACCUCCCAAUAUCUUGGCAAAAUAACGCUGAAGGGGCAGCCGAGCUCCAGUUUAAAACUCUCUAGGUGCAUCGUCACAUACCCCCGCGGAGGCCGACUAGGAACGUCACCCUUCCCAGGGACUACAAGAAGAACAUCGUUGGGGAUGUUGUAGAGAUUCCUAAGUUUAAAUAGAUCGGUGGGGGUGGUGGCACAAACCAUGAAGUCAAUAGGGUAGGAAUCAGCCUCCACCCUAUGGCCUAGUUUCCUUUUCUGAGCAGGUCUGCUCGGUCCGGAACUGCUCCCCUCACCAUCACUAACUCCUUCAGGGACCCCAACCCCACCAGAACUGUGAUUCUCACCAGAGCCCGACGCAGGUCCACCUCUAUUCCCUACAAGCUCUAGUUCGGGGGAAGAAGAGAUAACCAAAGGGCGUGGGUAUUCAAGGGUAUCCCUGCCAUGGGAAGGACCUACACUACUGGAGGGGUCUAAGUAAUCAGUGGGUAUUGGCACAUUGAGACCUGAGUCCCCUGACUCUUCAUCACCCUCAUCAACAAUUAACUUCCUCUUCCGAUUUGACAUACCGAAAUCCCCAAGAGAAAACAGAGAAAAUUCGAGUAUAUGGACACAAAGAAGGCAACACAGAACCCAAUCAACAACAACCAGAGGAAAGGGUUAAAGACUAUACCUGGAAUAGACUGACACUGAUAGCGCUGCCGUGACAGAGAAAACACCCGGCGAAUGGAUACUCCGGACGCUGGAAGUGUGAGCAAAGUUCAGAGAAAAUUUGGUUGACGGCGGAGAAACGAAUAGCAAGAUAAAGAUGACUCCAGUCUAGGGAUUUGAAACGAAAAGGGGGAAAUGGAAGCAUUUAAGUGAUGGGAUAUGCCAGCUCACCCCCCCAUAUAUCGAGGACGGAUAGUCCGUCGUUUCAAAUUUCAAAUACGAAGAGUCUGGAGAUGCCACGUCACCAACCGUUACAAGAGGCCAGGUUAGAAGUAAGCCCAGAUAUGCUAUGGGCAGGUUCACUUAGGCCCACGCUCAGGUCGGAGUCUCCUCAGUAGAGAAAUGGUACAUCAGGUCAGGCCCGUCUCAAUAAAAAGAGGAUCAGACGAGAAGCUCACCGGGCUGGUGAGAUUUGACCAUCAGUUUCUACUCUUAACUCAUUUCACUCGCCAGACCAGAAACUGGGGGACUGGUGUUGAGUACAUAAAGGCACCAGGUCGGCCAUGCUACUGGUUCUGCCCCGGCACGGAUCGUUUCAACUAUAUGGUACGAGCAGAACACGGGGUUAAACAGGAGCCGACCCGAGAUGAGUGCGACCAUGAAAACAUACUGACCAGAAGUAUACGCCGAGCCGAUACUCAUCCCCAGGAAAGCGGGAACACGAUCUCACAAAAUCGCGGUAGUUGCGCUUCUCCCAGAACGGUUGAAGGACACGCGAGAUCCACGUUUGCCCACAAUCUAACAGUUAGAGUCCCAUGAGGGGUUACCACCACCCGAAAAAGGAGGGAUAAGGGGCAAACGAAAAACGUGGGACAAAGGGCGGCUAUAAAAGAGAAAGACAUGGAAGAAGACAGGACAGAAAAAAUUGAGAGAGGGGAAACGCUGCCAAAUUCCAACCAGGCCAUUUCCUUACAAAUUUCUUAAAUCCAUAUUACACUGUUUUCCCGUAAACACCUUGUGCUAACUUAGGCAUCGGAGGGUUUACGCCGGUAAAACCACCGGCGUCUCUGAUCCGUGUUUGCUGAACGCAGGUCUAGUGAGAGAGGGAAGGGCGAUUCCAACCCCAGUGGUUCGAGUGACAGUUGAUAACACAAACGUUGAUGACAGAAUCUGGUCGGUCCAAGGGCGAGCAGAUUUCAGCAUCAACACUAUUGGCAAAGAGUGUCCACACGGAUGUGAUCAAAACUGCAUUAACACAAGCAUGGAAAACAACAAAAGAGGUGAAGAUUGAGAGCAUGAGAAACAAUAUUUUUCGGUUCAAAUUUGGGUUAGAAGUUGAUAAACAGAAAAUAAUGGCAGGAGAGCCAUGUCAUUUCGAUAGGGCUCUGAUUGUGUUGAAAGAACCCAAUGGAAUAGGAAACAUGAGAAAGGAAGAAUUCACGCAUACAUGUUUUUGGGUACAAACUCACAAUAUACCCAUAGUUUGCAUAGAGAGAGAGAGACAAUGUUCAAAAGCUGGGAGGACUGAUUGGAGAGGUGUUGGAAGUUGAAAUUGAUGAUGACAGGGAGUGUAUUGGUUUGUAUGCAAGAGUCAGAAUAUCCAUUGACAUCACAAAGCAAUUACAGAAAAUGGUUGGAGCUAGAAAAAGAUGAUAAGGUGGAGUUGCCAGUAUUGUAUGAACGGCUCCCAGAUUUCUACUUUUGCUGUGGUACCAUUUGGUACCAAUUUAAAGAGUGUGAAUCAUACAUAGGGCAACCAAAAAAAAAAAUUGCCCUAUGGAGUGUGCAUGAAGGCAUUGUCCAAAGUUGAAAAAACUAGGCUGAACAGGGGAAAAGAUAGAUGGAAUAGAAGGUUUGAGCAGCUCAAUAACGAACCAAAGGAAGCAGAACACCAUGGGAGAAGGCAGGCAAAACAAAUUGGUUUAGACCUGUAUAAACAUGAACUCGAGUCAAACUAAUCUAUUUCGGGGAGAUCAUGAUAGUUAAACAAGGAAAAUUGGGGAGUAAUUAAUGCAAAUGACUCUAGAACCAAGAAAUCAGAAAGACACGGUCAAAAGUAACCUAACAUGGCUGAUACCGAAAAUACAGCCGACAACUUAAACAAUCAUGGAAAAAAGAAAGAAAAAGCGGGAACAUAGAAUUGAGAGGGAAUAAAGUUAAAUUUGGUGCUAAAUUUGAAGCCAAAAUUAACUCUAAAUACAAGCCCAAAAAAAUAUUAAAGCAACUCAAGCCCAGAAGAAGUAGUAUGUGAUGGACCGAAAACAAAGAAUACUAGGCCUAAGAGAAAGAAGUGAAAGCUGCAAGCUAGUAGUGUAAGUAGCAAAGGACACACAAAAGAAGGGCUAAUUGUGGGAAAAAGACUAGGUUGUGGAGUAAUAAGGUCAAGCCUAAAUCCUAAAAAAAAAACCCAAAUCCGAAGCCCACAGAAAAACUCAAUAGCUAGAGAAAGCUCCUGCAAUACAUCUCCUCUUAGCUAUAAGCUCAACUGGGUUGUUUUAAGAAUGGAGAAAAUGAUAAAAACACAAACAAUGCAACUCAAUCGGCGGAGGCAGAACACCAACCCUGCCGACAACUAUGAGGAUUCCAAGCUGGAACGUUCGGGGGAUGGGGAAUGACCGAACGUUCAUAGCUCUCCAAAAAUUCCUCACAUUGUAUAGGCCUCAAUUAAUGUUUCUAUGUGAAACUAAAUUGACAUCUGUACACAUGGAAAAUGUUGGCAAGAAGCUGAAGUUUGAAAAUUGUUUUUGGGUUAGUAGAAGUGGUAAGAAUGGGGGUCUAGCUAUGCUUUGGAAUUCAGCAACAAGGGUAGAUAUCACCUCUUUCAGUAAACACCGCAUAGAUACUGAGGUAGAACUGAAAGUGGGAAGUAGAUGAGAUGCACUAGAAUCUACGGGCACCUAGAAACGAGUCAGAAAAAACACACCGGGACUUUAUUAAGGAGAUUAACAGGUUUAUCUUCACCCCUUUAGUUAUGCUUUGGCAAUUUCAAUGAGAUAAUGCACUUAGAUGAAAAAAAUGGAGGAAAAGACAGGGAGGUUCAUAUGAUUAAAGAGUUUCGAAAUGAUGUUCAGGAUUACAAUUUGAAAGAUUUGGGUUAUACAAGACACCAUUUUACAUGGUCGAAUAGGAGAUUUGGUAGCCACUUUGUUGAAAAACGUCUAGAUAGAUUUUUAUGUAGUAAUGAUUGGACAAAUUCUUUCUAAAACCAAGCUGCAAAAAAAUCUGAUUAUAUGGUGCUCAGACCACAAUCCGAUUUUGAUGGAAGUGAUAAGCAGAGCCAAUAGAAAGACAUAUAAUAAAAGAACCUUUUCAAGAACCCAUUAUGAAGACAUGUGGAGCAACUAUGAUGAGGGUAAGAACAUUGUAAAGGCAGAAUCGACCAAAGACUGGUCAGGGGAUAAUGCAGUGCAGUUUUUUAAACAAGCCAGCAAAUCUUAACUAACUGAAUUAGUACACUGGAGUAAGAAAACUUUUAAAGGAAGCAAGAAGAAAUUAGAGAAGCUGAGGAACAGAAUAUAAGAGCUCUAGUAGGAAAGACAGUGGGAUAAGGGUGAAGAAUUGAUAAGCAUUGAGAGGCAGAUCCAUAACCUCCUUUUAGAUGAAGAGAUCUUUUGGAAACAGAAAGAGGUUUAGGGCUGAUUGAUUGAGGGAGGGAGAUAAAAGCACCAAAUUCUUCCACUCAAAAGCUUCAUCUAGAAAGAGGAAGAACAAAAUUUGAGGAGUUGAAGAUGCAUAGGGAAAAUGGGUAGAAGAAAAUGAAGAUAUUGAGAAAGAGUUCUGCGGUUACUUUGCAGAGUUAUUUUCAACUUCCAACCCUACUCAAGAUCAAAUGGAGUGUGCUUUGAAAGAAAUGGUCUCAAAAGUUUCAGCUUAAAUGAAUGAGUAUCAGACUCAACCAUAUACAGAGGAAAAGAUAAUAGAGGCUCUAAAUCAAAUGCGUCUAACCAAGACACUAGGCCCUGAUGGGCUACCGACUGCCUUUUAUUGGAAGCACUGGCCAUUAGUUAACAUCACCACAUGUUUUCACAUCCUCAAUGAAGCAAGUAACAUUGCUCCUCUGAACCACACAUACAUUGCUUUAAUUGCCAAUAAUGCAAAGCUUAGGAAAGUGACUGAAUUUAGACCAAUAAGUCUUUGUAAUUUCAUUUAUAGGAUUUGUAAAACUAUUGCAAAUAGAUUGAAAACUAUCCUACAUGUUGUAAUUGAUUCUUCGUAGAGUGCUUCUAUCCCCAACAAAUUGAUAAUGGAUAAUAUCAUUGUUGGGUAUGAAUGCCACCAUAAGAUUAGGCAUAACAAAGGAAAAAAAAAUGGCUUGGUGGCUCUGAAGUUAGAUAUCAACAAAGUUUACGAUAAGGCAUAGUGGGAUUUUUUAAAGGAGACAAUGAUCAUAUUAGGUUUUGCUAAGAAGUUGAUAAAUUUAAUUAUGAAUUGCAUUACUACGUCAUACUUUUCUAUAAUCAUAAAUGGAAUACCAAAUGGCAAGAUUAUUCCUAAAAGGAGCUUGAGGCAGGGAUGCCCUUUAUCUCCUUAUCUGUUUAUAAUAUGUGCAAAUGCUCUUUCAAAUUUGUUGAUUCAGGCUGAGAGAAGAAAGUUAAUACAUGGGUUGAAAUUUGGAAAGCAUAUCUCUAUUUCUCACCUCUUAUUUGCAUAUGACAGCCUAAUUUUUUUUUUCCAAAGCCUCAAUUAAAGAUUUCCAGCAUCUAAAAGAUUUGUUCGAUUGUUAUGCCACUGCCUCUGGCCAAAUUUUUAAUUUUGAAAAGUCAUGCAUGUUCUUCAGCGGCAGUGUUUGUGCAAACCAAAUUUCGGCCAUUAAAAGAAUAUUUCAGCUCAAUGUGGUAACGAAGCAUGAGAAGUACUUGGGGCUGCCCUCAAUGAUAAAGAGGAAAAAGAAAAAAAUUCUUCAAUAAGAUUAAGCUAAAAGUCCAGAGCAAGAUCUCUAGUUGGCAAUAAAAACUUUUCUCGAGUUGAGGAAAAGAUGUCCUGAUAAAAGUAGUGGCACAACCAGCUUAUGCAAUGAGUGUCUUCAAGAUACCUAUUGGUGUGUGUGAUGAUAUUUAGUGAGCAAUAAAAAGAAGGAAAAAAAGGGGCAUCGUUUGGAUCAGAGGGGAGAAGAUGAGUCAAGCUAAAAUUUGAGGGGGAAUGGGCUUUAGAGACAUAUCAAGUUUUAACCAAGUCAUGGUAGCUAAGCAAGGAUAGAGAUUGAUUCAAAAUCCAGAUUCCCUUGCAGCUACUGUUUUAAAGGCUAGGUAUUUUCAAGAAGACUGAUUUUCUAAAUGCUUCAAUGGGGUCAAACCCAUCUUAUAUUUAGAGAAGCUUACUUUGGGGUCGACAAGUAAUUCUUAAUGGAUAUAGAUAGAGAAUUGGUAAUGGGUAAAACAUCUUAGCCUACAAAGGAAAUUGAAUUCCAAGACCAUCCACUUUCAAACCGUUUCCUAGUCCAAGGAUGCCUUUUGAUGCUAUUGUUUCAGAGUUGAUAGACAAUGAAAGCAGAUGGAAGACUGACUUGAUCCAAAAGAUGUUUUUAAAGGAAGAUGUAUAUGCAAUUCUCAAUAUUCCUUUGCCAAAAGGACAAAGCAAAGAACAAGCCAUCUGGCAUUAUGACAGAAAGGGGAAAUACUCGGUCAAGAGUGGAUACCAAGUGGCUAUAAAUAUGAAAAUUUUGAAUUCACCAAAUUGCUCCAACAGUAAAGGCAGAAAUUGGAAUAUCAUUUAGACCCUUACCAUCCCAAAAAAAGAUUAAGAUUUUCAUUUGGAAAGCAAUUAAAAACUUACUACCGACAGUUGAUAAUUUGUGGAAGCGUAGAAUUAUUCAGGAAGGUCACUGCAAGCAUUGUAGAAAUAGAGUGGAAAAUAUUAUGCAUGCCAUGGUCACUUGUAAAGCAGCAAGAAAGGUUUGGCAGCUUUCAUCAAUGGUGAAUGCAAGUCAACAGAUGAGAAAUGCAAACCUCUUGGGGGAUUUGAUGAUGCUUCAGAAGAAAUUAAGUAAAGCUGAACUUGAGCUUGUGGCGUCAAUUUGGUGGGUGAUUUGGCAUGCUCAGAAUAAAUUUGUAUCUGAAGGUGUAAAAUUGGAUCAAGGAUUGCAAAUGGCCAAAGCUGAAGCAGUCAAUGAAGUUUUUAAAAGAACAAAAUUUCCAGAGAUGUUGAAUCUAGGAAAAAUGCAGAAGGAAAAACCAAAAUCCUGGACCCCUCCACCCGAUGGAUGGCUAAAGAUAAAUGUUAAUGCAACUACUGACACCAAAAGACAAUGCUCGGGAUUGGGAGCAAUAAUCAUAGACUCCACUAGAAAGUGCUUAGCUGUAGCUAUAAAAACCUCAAGGUUUGGGAGAGAUGUAACAUAUGUGGAAGUAGAAGCAGCUGAGUAGGGCAUUAAAAUAGCACAGGAAGCAGGUCUACAGUCAGUUAUCCUAGAAACUGAUUCUCAUGAAGUACCAGAAUUGAUAAACAAUAGAGAAGGCAGCCUAACAGAAAUAUAUUUGGUCCUUGCGGAAAUUCAAGACUUAAAGAAGAAUUUUAAAGCCUUUAAAGCACAAUAUGUCCCUAGAUCAUUUAAUGAGUGUGCCCAAUCUUUAACUAAGAUGGCUAUUGAAAAAUUUGAAUCUAUUGUUUGGGUGGAGAAUUUUCCUCCUGAAAUUUUGUAAGUUUUCACUUCGUUGAAUUAAUAAAAGUUUUACUUUCCCAUAAAAAAAACUGGUAAAACCACGAAUGCUACUAUAUGUGAAGAUUGCCAUAUAUGAAAUUUUAUAAAAAAAAUGAAUCUUAUUUUCAAUGUGAAGAUUAUCAAAUAUAGAAUUUUUAUUAAGAAAAAAUUCUUAAUUUUUGGAUAAUUAUGAAUGGGAGUAAUAAUAUGGAGAUAUCUAAAAAUUAGACUUCCUUAUAUAUGCAACUUAAAUAACAUCUUUGAAAUGUUAGAAGAAUAAUUAUUCAUUAGUGUAUUAAUCAAAUAAAUUUCAAAUAUUGGGGUCUUCCUAAAAAUUGGAGCAUCAUUUAGUUAACCUAAUACUAAAGUCGCUCUUGAAUCUGUUAUGGAAGCCAUGCUAAAUUUCAAGGGUUUAAGAUUCUUAGAAAAGGCUAUGUUGAUCCCAAAUGGUACAAACAGGAACUUCCUAAUGUGAAUUGAAUGGAUACUCAAUCCUCUGAUGGCCAAGAGUUUAAGACCUCGUAUUAAUUGUUCCAUAUCUUGAUCUCAUUGAGUUUACUAAGACCAACUAACUCGAGACCUUUAAUCAUCUCCAAUCUCUUAGACUUAUAACCUCAAUCAUGGACACCCAACAAUUAAAUUUUUAAUAAAACUUUUAAUAACAUGAUCAUCUACUUCAACUGACAACAGAUAUAAUUGUUUCAAAGAAGCUAAUAUCACGCUUGCUGGUAACUCAAGCUUACAACCAUUUAACACUAAGGGAAUGCCUAUUUGGAAUUGAGGUGUUGUACAUUUUAAGUUACAUCUUCUGUAGAAAAAAAAAACUAUAAUUAUGAAGUAAAAGUUAAUAUUAUGUUGUAAACAUAAUUUUUUAACUAUAAUUUUAACAAAAUUAGUAAAGAUAUAAUAGAUAUUUCAUCAUACAUGUAUACUGUCAAAUUAACUUAACUUCUAAGUUACAGUAAAUUGUGUUUACCAAACAUUUUGGUGCUAUACUUUUUAAGCUCCAACUACUCAACCUCAAUCCUAAAUAAAACAGUAGUUAACGAUUUCAUACAAGAAACCAUUUAACAUUAUUCUCAAUUGCAUAGCAAAUGCGUUGGUGAUGAAUAGUGCUUUUAUUUUGUUACAGUGCACAUAAAUAUGAUGAAAAAACUUUGAAUCAAGUACCAAAAAUGGGAAUCUAAGCCAUGCUUGUUCCCACGUUUUAGAUAAAACGCUUUUUUCAACUACUUGUUUGAACGGGAGUAAUGACAAAAUAUGAUGCCUACGUGCUUUUGCAAAUUAGAUAUCCUUUUUCUUUUUCAGUUAUUCUCCCAACAUCACAGGCCUCCCUCAAUUAACCACUCUCAAGCAGAUUAAUAAAUUUAUUAAUUAUAUAGAUCAUGUUCUUACUCAUCAACAACAUAAUUAGAACUGAAUCUAAAUCGAAAUUAUUUUGAAUUAAUAUGGAUUAUGAUAUCUAGGCAUGCAUGGACAAAUUGAAAUUUAGUCUAAUUCAGUUUAAUUUAUUCUUUAAUGAGAAAAUAAAUUCGAACAAAAAUGACCCACAAAAGAUAAUUACAGAGAAACAUACAAUAUACAUUUAGAAAUUAGUUUAAGAAAUAUAAUAUCUGUCAACUAUCAACAAUCUCGCCGUCUAAAGCAGCAGCAAAAAUCAGCAAAAAUAUAAUAAUGGUUCUCAAACAUUGUUAAAUCCCUUAACACUUUAGAAUAAAUCAAUAUAGGAAAUGAUUGGUAAAUGCUUAUUUAUUCUUUAUAUUUUGAGUUACGUGCUCAUUUAAUUUUUAUAUUUAAAAAAUAUAUUAAAACAAAAAAAAGACAACAAACAAACAAAAAAAAUGAAAAAAUGAUUUCCAGAGAAAGUCUUGAAACUCUUAUGACAUAGGAUCUUGGACGAUCUUAAAAGACAUUAUAAAAUAUAAAGGGCUAAACGGUCAUGAAUAUUUACCCGGAAAUAAAAAAUUAAUUUUUUUUGUAUUUUGUCUAAGUGAACAUUCAAACAUCAUUUAUUUUUAAAUUUCAAAAUUAUUUACUUUUAUAUGAUAUAUAUCAUAAUAAUUCAAAAAAGAAAAUUGUAUUUAUUCUAUCUCUAAAAUAAAUUAAAAAAAUUACAAACUAUUAAGAUAUAAUAAAUUAUUAUUAUUAUUAUUUUACUGAUGAUGAUGACAACGACGACGGCGACCAUGAUGAUGAUAUACGAAUAAAUAUUUGCUUUAAUAUUUUUUAAAAAAAUAUUUGUUAAGUAUAAAACUCUACUCAAGUCGAAUAAAUAUAUGUUCAAUACACUUGAGGUAUGGCUAAAUGUCAAAAACAACCACAAACAUGAGAAACUGGAUGCAAUAGUCCUUUCGUUUGUAAAAUGUUCGAUAGAACCUUUCGUCUUAAUUCGAUAAAAAUAUAAAAUAAAUUAGGAUUACGAGGUGGUUAAAAGACUACGAAUACAUUAAUCUUUUAUUAAAAAUUAUAAAUACGUUAAUCUUUUAUUAAAAAAUCAUAAAGACCCACAAUAUAUAGUACUCCGAUGCUAUUAUUUUUAUAGUGAGUGGUCUAAUGGUUAUAAUUCCAACUUCUUAUGGUUAAAUUUGUAAUUUCUUGGAUAACUUUGUCAGUUCGUUUGAUGACAAAGAUGAACUUGGACAUGUUUUCGUUUCAAUUAAGAGGGAUGCAUCAUUUUCUUUAAUAGUUUAUAAUAUUAAUUAUUGACCAUUGGGUGGUUUCUUUCUUUCUUUUAUCUUUUUUUUUUUAAUUUAGCAUUGACGUGUAGAGUUUCGUUUGUGUGACUAAACUAAAUACUUUAAAACUUAAAUAUAUAGGUUUUGUAAUGGAAAAGAAUAUAAGAAAGACGACUCGUUAGUGUAAAAAUAGAAAAACUUGCGACUUAAAACUAUAAGAAUUCAUCAAUAAUGAAAUUUUAGUCAUAUAGUAUUUGUAAUAUAUCUUUAACAUAGAUAACUAUACAACCUAAAAAGAACUCAUUUUUCUAUUUUAAUGUUUUGUAAUGUCUUCAUUGAGAUUCGCAGCUGAAAAUAUACGCUUGUUGAAAAAUCUCAUAAAUAAGUAAAACAGAAACUAUAUAUUAUGAUGAACAAAAAGGUUUAAUAAAUUUAUAAUAAAAUCUAAUUACCUUGAUUGAGAUGAUAACUAUGGAAAAUAGACCACUAGUGAAAGGGACAAGGUAGCACUUUUACUGGGUGAAGGAAAUUUGGGAAAGCGGAAAGCGAUUAAUUAAAAAAUUAUAACAAAAACUUUUCAUGUAGAGUAAUUUUUUUUAAUUAUUUUAGGGAAAUAAUAAAAAAUUUUAGGCCGGCAUCUCGAAUAUAAAGUAGUAAUAAAAUUAUUAAGCAUCAAAGAGUAAUGAUACAGCCACAAACUCUUGUACAAACUUAUUUUGUACAAAUUGACGUGGUAUUAAUUCAUUGGUUGAAUAAAAAUAUAAAUUAAUAAAAACAAAUCAUCUGGGCCAAGUAAUAUUUAAUUCAACCAAUCUUAUCAUGCCACAUCAGUUUGUACAAAAUAAUUUUAUACAAGAGUUUGUGGCUAUAUCAUUACUCAAGCAUCAAAUUAGGCUUAUAAAUCACCUUAUCACGGUUUUUCUUUACAGUGACAUGUGAUUUUUUUUUCCUAAUAAAGAAGAGAUCCCUUCAACUAAUUUCAAUAUUUUGAGUCUUAACAAAGACUGAUCACUUCCGUUUGAGUACAUUAUAGAUUAAUUUGUCAUUGCUGAAGUCACUCCAAUUAUAUGAUGUUUUGAUAUUCUUAAUUAAAACCAAUUUCAUGUUUCUUUAAAUAUAAUUUUUAAUUCUAUUUUACUUUCUUCGUUGGUACUAUUUGCUUUUUAAAUCAUUUAAUUAUGCAUAUUUUUUAGGCACCCUAAACUUUCAUUCCAUUAAAUAGAAUUAUUACAAUCAAUCAGUACAAUCAGCACAAUAACUUAGGGUUAUUCUACUAAUAAUGUAACUUUUAAAAUACUAUGCGUUUUAAAAAGUAUUAUGGGUUUUAAAAAUAAUCGUAUGUGUGCUAAAUUUUAUUGCUAAAUUGCUAUAAGAAUGUAAACGAUUGAACUAGACUUAAUGUUAAAUUGAAUUUAUUUAUAUAUUUAUAAAUAUGUAUAUAAAAUAUUUUUAUUUUGUAUAAAUGAUAAUUGAUAACUAAAAUAAAUAUUUUAUAUUAUUAAUUUUUUUGUUAUCUUAAUAUAAUGGGAAGUAAUAAUUUUUUUAAGUUAAUGAUUUUAUUUCCUAAUUAAAAAGGAUAAUUUUAGAUUUAUAUAAUAAAUUUGAGAAUACGUAUGAAAUUAUGUUAGGUAUAAAAUUGAUUCUUAAAUCAAAUUUUAAAAAACUACUUAUUCUCAAUUUUUUAAAAUCCAUUAUAAAAUUAAACUAAGCUUACCAAAAAUAAUUUUAAAAAAUUAUCAAAAUCUAAAAUUAACUAUUAACUUUUAAAAACUAUUUUUAAAUUUCUCAACAAUAAUUCCAAACAGCCCUUAGAAUCUCAUUAUUAAAAAUAAAAGCAUAUUGGUUGGUUGUUCAAAGACAGGCAACAGCAGCCGGCUACGUACUUGCAAACGUCACGUGCCAGCGAUUAAAAGCAUUUUAAACAUAUGUGAACAUUGAAUCCAAUGGCAAUGGAGACUGAUUCGACCCUCGUGGAAUUUUUUCAUAUUCCAAAACGGUCGACCCAUUUCGGUCUAUAAAUACCCAAUUGAACCCUUCCGUUUCUUUAAUCAUUUUAUUUUCAGUCGCGUUAAGGAUUCUCAAUUUGCUUGUAAUUCUACUAAACAUGGGAAACAGAGCAGAGGAGGCUAAGCAAAAUCAAGAAGAGAACAACGGUAACAUGGCCAUUGAAACUCCCAUCAUCCCUCUUGUCACUCCUUACAAUAUGGGCAGUCUCAAUCUUUCUCAUAGGUACCGAUUGUACCCACCUUUUAUUUCAUUGAGUUUUUUAUUUUUAUUUUUUUGGAUUUACAUUUUCUUUCGCUGUAUGGAUUUUUGUAUGGCGUUAACUUUAUUGACGAAAGUGACAUCUGCCAAAGUACAUUUGAGUGACGAGCAUUCACAUCAUAAGCACUCAGAUUCUCACUGUUUAUCCAGGGCUCAGCGCAAACUCAGUCGACCACUGAAUCCUUGUCCAUUUAGAAUGAAUGGAUUAGUGAAUAUUUGGAAUGGAUUAGGAAAUAUUUGGGAUUUAGUUACUGUGGUUUUUAAUUCACAGUCUCUAUGUGGAGUGAAUCAGUAGCUAUCGAGUAAAACUGUUGGUGUUUACGGAACACUUUUUAACUGUCCUUUUUUGGUAAUUAAGCAGAAGCACGCCCGGUUAUUAACUUAUAAUACCCUUAACUGAUUAGAAUGUAUGAUCUGAUUUAGUUUCUGUAUCUUCUUUGUAUUUGUUCGUUUGGUCUAUGAUCUGACUGAGAGUUUUACAGAGGCAGUUUAAGUGUAAUGUUGCAAUUUUAUGGGUUUUUUUCUUUUGAGUUUGAGUUAUUGGUGAUGGGGCUAAUUGAAUUGCGGCUUGCUUGUUUUGUUUAUUUCAGAGUUGUUUUAGCACCACUGACUAGACAGAGAUCAUACAACAAUGUUCCUCAGCCACAUGCCAUUUUGUAUUACUCUCAAAGAACCACCAAAGGGGGUUUGCUUAUAGCCGAAGCCACUGGAGUUUCCGACACUGCUCAAGGGUAAUUUUACAUCCGUUUAGCUGUUUUAAGAGUUUUUUGAGGCAUUAAAUGGAUAAGAAAUUGUAUGUUUGAGUUUCGAAAGCAUUACCUGUAUUUAGUUGCUUGAAAAUCUUGUGUGUUCUGUUGUUUCUUUUAUUGUAAGGUAUCCAGAUACACCUGGUAUCUGGACAAAGGAGCAAGUUGAAGCAUGGAAACCGAUUGUAGAUGCUGUUCAUGCCAAAGGUGGGAUCUUCUUUUGUCAGAUUGGGCACGUUGGCAGGGUUUCAAAUCAAGGUGUGUUCUAUAUCUCUCUCUUCUAUUGACAGUUACUGGUUACUUAGUUAUCAGGAUCAUACAUACAUUUUAUUUCUGACAAUAAGAUAAGGUACCGUGAACUUAAGCUAUUGAAUUGCAGUAACUUACAGUAAUCUAACAUGAGGCAAGUGUUGAGAGAAUAAGCAGCUCGGAUUAAUCAAAUGCUCAAAUUGAGUACUGAUCAUCCUACAGAUGCACCAUCCUUUUGCAUUUUAUUUUCAGUUAAUAAAAUGAUAUUCAAUAGUUUUUUUGCAACCUCCAUGUGAUGGAUCUGACUGAUUUUAUAGAAAUUUGAGAAUCAUUUCAACUGGAUCUUCAUUGGUUUUUCCUGUCGUCGAACUGUACAGAUUAUCAGCCAAAUGGUCAAGCUCCAAUUUCCUGUACAGACAAGCCAUUGACACCUCAAAUCCGCACUAAUGGUGUUGAUAUUGCACAAUUCACUCCUCCAAGGCGGCUAACGACAGAUGAAAUCCCUCAAAUUGUGAAUGAUUUCAGGCUUGCUGCAAGAAAUGCAAUUGAGGCUGGUAAAUUCUUUUUUCUGAAAUUAAAAAUUGAAUUGUGGGCAAUAAGUGUUUUAAGGUCGCCACAGGAUGGGUGAUAUUUCACUGGUCUACUUUUCUUGAGAUUAAGGAUAAUAGUAUAAAAGAAUAGUGAGAUUCUUCCAUUCCAUGCAUGGCUAUCAGAAGGAAAGGAAAACUAAACAUAAAUGCAUUAAUAGAUUUUUACUAGGCUUUUGUGGCUUGUAAAUAAUGCUGUUUUAUUGUACUGUAAGGUUUAUGUGAAAACAGUUAAGUUUCUUUACAAUUAUGCUUAUUGUCCCAUAGUUGUAUUUAUCAUAUUGAAUAAAGAAUUUGAAAACUUAAACCUUACCUAAAUGUGUCAUUAAUGUAAAUGGAGUCAUUACAAUAGUCAGAUUAUUUGAAAUGGGUUCUAGAAUCUUACAUGUGACUCCUUUUGUCAUCUAAAAUGAUGGUUGAGACUUUGUUUUUUUUUUAUCUUAUCAACUGUUUUGUUGUUAGUUAAAAUAGGGAUUGAGUACCGGCAACUCUGAGUAGUUUUGUAGCUUUCUGCCUGCAUCUCUGAGACAUCACAAAACUGCCUUGGAUUAACUUUGAGAGCCAACCUAGUAAAUGCUUAAAUACUUUUUCUUGUUCUUAAAAUGAAAGCUAGACCCUCUGUCUGUCUGUCCGCACAAUGCGAGCCUCAGAGCUUUUAGUUAUAUGAGAAGAGGUAGAUAAAUGGAGUGUUCAUGCUGUACAGGUUUUUGGUUUCUAACUUUGUCUUAUGCUGUAUAGGUU
Molecule: long non-coding RNA, 34898 nt
Filed under: Citrus x clementina
Lineage: Eukaryota; Viridiplantae; Streptophyta; Magnoliopsida; Sapindales; Rutaceae
Description: Citrus clementina (C. clementina) long non-coding RNA (CCLE_LNC004166)
Source: RNAcentral